This is a non-coding RNA of Schistosoma rodhaini, 46 nucleotides long. Lineage: Eukaryota; Metazoa; Platyhelminthes; Trematoda; Strigeidida; Schistosomatidae. The record is from Rfam.
GCACUGCUGAGGAGUCCCAUAAUAGGACGAAACGGCCGUCCCGUGU